UAGUCUUAAUGAGAUCUUGAAAAGAUUGCUCAAUGAGACAUAGUGAUGAAUAGUUUUGAUUAUGAGCAGCAGGGUUGGCAAAAAGCAACCCCACAAUAUUAAAGAAGCAAUCAUACAACAUUACACCUUUGGUUCACCAUAUUAUAAGCUUUUAAGAAGUGCAGGACUAUUCAUACAACAUAGCUAAAGGGCAGCCCGGCGCAUAAGGCAUCUCGCAUUCACGCAGGGUCUGUGAAAGGGCCGCACUCAAGAGGUGUGAUGUAGACAACCUACCCUAAUGCAAGUAUUAGUGGCUGUUUUUAUGGCUCGAACCCCAUGACCUAUAGGUCACAUGGAGACAACUUUACAGUUGCUCCAAGGCUCCCCUUCUCAUACAACAUAUCCAUAAAGUAAAAUCACCAACAAUACAACUCUACAACCUAGAUUGGAUGCAUCAUGGUCCAUCUAUACUUAAUGGACACAUCAUCUAUACAGUACAGAAUUCCUACAUAGUAAUUUCCAUCACAAUGCAAGCGCAGUAAGUGGAAUGAACCUGGUCAAAAUGUUAUUAGCACCAAACGGCAGUAUUCAGGCCCACUGUCAGCAGUCCAAAGCAGAGUGAGUAACAUGCUUCUUGCGCUGUUAAAGGAAAUUACGCAGGACAGAAGACUUGAUUAGCUCAAAUGAGUCUCGAACCAGUUGAAGAUUUGCUCAGAUUGCAAGCUGGUCAUUUCAUGAAAAGCAAAUGCAAGGUUCAUUUCCUCUUCAAUGUGCUUUGCUAGGGACUUAUGCGGGAGAACAAUAUCUCUCUCUUGGAGAGUCUCCUUCCAAAGUUUAUCACGCCCAUCAUUUGUCAUGAAACCAUUCUUAUCGACAAAACCCUUUUCCUGAAAUAGACUAAACAACUUCGCCGAUGUAGCAACAUCAAUACCAGGGAUUUUAUCAGCAAACAGAUUAGGCGACAAAAGAAACUCCAGGCAUUUAACUUCUGCAACACCAAUGCCUUUUCCCUUCAGGAGUAUCGCGAAUCAUUUUAGUUUCUGCAUCCUACUCUUAUCUUUAGGCAUGUGCACAAAAAGGGUGGGUGGAUAACUCUCUGGAAUCUCCAAUUUAUCAUACAAUCCUUCAAUAAUCAUUACCGUGAUGCUACUAAAUCUUAAAUCAGUCGCUAGAAUUGAAACAAAGUAUCCUCCAGAGGAAGCACCCAAAGCUACAAGAGGCAAAUGUUGAAGCUUUUGUUUAGCAAUCCACCACUCAAUAAUAUCUUUGACGACAAAUCUUUCCUCUUUGAACGACCAGCACGCCUCAGCACUUGAUACCGCGAUAACUGCAAAUUUCCUAGCUAAAGCAUUAAGUGUAAGAAGCCUCUCUUCAGGUAGACCGACACAAUUCGGGCACUUGAACGACCAGCACGCCUCAGCACUUGACACCGCGAUAACUGCAAAUUUCCUAGCUAAAGCAUUAAGUGUAAGAAGCCUCUCUUCAGGUAGACCGACACAAUUCGGGCACUUAGAGGAUCUGUCCCGAAAGUUAGCUGCUUUACCAUCACAACCAUGUGCAAGAAAAAGAAUUGCUUUAGGUGAGUCAGGGAUUUGCCAUAUCAUAUCUGUGUCAUUCCUGAACUCUACUGUGGGGUCUAACUUAACCACAAAGCUAAAACUAUCCCAGUUCUGUUUGAUUAUCUCACAUGAUGAACCAGUUUUUUCUCCAUUCUCUCGAUACAAAACCAAGUAUAAUACAGAAAUGAAGAGAAAAAAUGCAAUCACAAUAGGCAGUCGUUUAAUUUGGACAAUAUUCCUUAACUUCAAUAUCAU
Molecule: long non-coding RNA, 1793 nt
Filed under: Nicotiana benthamiana
Lineage: Eukaryota; Viridiplantae; Streptophyta; Magnoliopsida; Solanales; Solanaceae
Description: long non-coding RNA (NBEN_LNC004599)
Source: RNAcentral